Long non-coding RNA from Poecile atricapillus (Black-capped chickadee), 1554 nucleotides. RefSeq lists it as uncharacterized. The transcript has 3 exons. Lineage: Eukaryota; Metazoa; Chordata; Aves; Passeriformes; Paridae. The record is from RefSeq and is a predicted model, not a curated record.
GACUGUGGCAAAUGAUAGUGGAUAGGGGAACCUGCAGGGCCCCACAGGCAUCCCUUCGUAUCAGGGUGCUCUGCCCAUGCAGGGGUGAAACAGCUCUAAACUCACCCCAAGAGCAAAAGUGAGCAGAGCUGGAUGGAGAAGGAGGGUGGGCUGCUUUUGGUGUGGAAGAAUGCUGAGACCAGCAUUCAAUUUUGGUGCUGAAGAAUGCUGAGACCAUCCAGACUCAUCAAUCCCAAAGUUAGCAUCACAGGAGCAAAAGAGCUUUGCCCAUGAUCCUUGCUAUGGAUUACCCAGGAUGGCUCUGUCAGCUGCCUCUGUCAUCACCUCACAUGCAGAUGCUGACGUGACAGAGCUCAGCAACUCCACAUCACACACAGACAUCCGCCCGCUCUGAUCAAAGGCCCGGGAGAAUCAGCACAGACUGCCAUGGUACCCAGGGGACAUGGAAGUGAUGGAAGCACAUCAUCCUGAGGUUUCAGCCCACACUGUCUGUGCUUUAUUUUUCUCAGAAUGAAAUAAAACAGCACAAGAUUUCAAAAACUGGUUCAGAUUUUAUUAUUUUGCCUCGGUCUGACUUUGAUGAAGAUGUUAAAGUACCAACAGACUAAUUAAUGAUGACAAAACAGUAACAAAUAACAGUGGAUCCAGCUUGAGCAAACAGCAGCAGGAAGAAUGCUGAGGUCGUAAGAAUUAACAGAUGAUUAAAGAUACAUUGGGCUACGCCUUAGUCAUGGACUGAAAAUGUCAUUAAAAAAAAUCAUCAAACCCUCUAUAAAUAACUUCAUGAUUAUUUCUCAGGGAAAUUGUCGUGUAUUUCAACACUGCUCAAUUGUUCCUUUUCCUUCCUCAGCAGAAGACUGAAAUAUUUACUAAAUUAUUUAAAUGUUAUUUUAUAGACCACUAUCUAUAGAAAAAGUAAUGUUUUCAGCAUACACAGCUCAGGGAAUAGCAACAAAAUUUUAAUCUGAUUUAAAAUGAACUACUUUUGAAACAACAAAACAAUGAGCAAAAAACCCACAAGGACUGGUUCUAAAAUGAAGUAAAAUUCUGAUCAAAAUGGGGGAUAACCACUGCUUUUAUCCUUAUACAACCAAACCCAGAGUUUAGCACAGGGUAUUUGAUUCUGCCAUCAAAACAUGACUUGAUUCUUUAUAUUACAGAACUAAAAUAAAUUACUUUGGGCUGUAGCCUCCCCUUGGAACCCAAGGUAUACAGAGUUUAUUUGCACUGCCUUCUGCCUACUCAGCACAGCCACAUCCAGCAGCCUGAUCAUGUGCUCUGCAGGACGAGCCACAUCCUUCAUUGCCAAGGAGAAACACGGGCACAGCCAACCACAGGGACAGCAUUCCCUUGGCUUUCCAUAAACCAUCCGGGAUGGAGGUGUUGAAUGAUCCCUGCCUUUGGAACAGUUCUGAGGGGCCAGGCCCUGCGCUGGGGCAGCACGCUCGGCACGCGGGGCUCAGGGGACACGGCAGCUGUGCCCAGCCCUCAGCAGAGACCCCCGGAAUGCUUCGUGUUGGAAGGGCCUUGAGAGCCCUCCUGUUCCACCCGCCU